This 74-nucleotide transfer RNA is filed under the name Chloroflexota bacterium. RNAcentral describes it as "Chloroflexi bacterium (groundwater metagenome) tRNA-Val". It matches the Rfam family "tRNA". Rfam says of the family: Transfer RNA (tRNA) molecules are approximately 80 nucleotides in length. Their secondary structure includes four short double-helical elements and three loops (D, anti-codon, and T loops). Lineage: Bacteria; Bacillati; Chloroflexota. The record is from RNAcentral.
GGGCGACUAGCUCAGCUGGCUAGAGCGUCUGUCUUACACACAGAAGGUCGGUGGUUCGAUCCCACCGUCGCCCA